RNAcentral lists this ribosomal RNA (462 nucleotides) under uncultured bacterium. RNAcentral's name for it is "partial 16S ribosomal RNA". It matches the Rfam family "Bacterial small subunit ribosomal RNA", at positions 29 to 507 of the family's 1533-position model. The record is from RNAcentral.
ACGCACGCUGGCGGCGUGCUUAACCCAUGCCAGUCGAACGGAAAGGCCUUUUCGGAGGUACUCGAGUGGCGAACGGGUGAGUAACACGUGGGUGAUCUGCCCUGCACUCUGGGAUAAGCCUGGGAAACUGGGUCUAAUACCGGAUAGGACCGCACUUUAGUGUGUGUGGUGGAAAGUUUUUUCGGUGUAGGAUGAGCCCGCGGCCUAUCAGCUUGUUGGUGGGGUAAUGGCCUACCAAGGCGGCGACGGGUAGCCGGACUGAGAGGUUGGUCGGCCACAUUGGGACUGAGAUACGGCCCAGACUCCUACGGGAGGCAGCAGUGGGGAAUAUUGCACAAUGGGCGCAAGCCUGAUGCAGCGACGCCGCGUGGGGGAUGACGGCCUUCGGGUUGUAAACUCCUUUCGCCAGGGACGAAGCGUUUUGUGACGGUACCUGGAGAAGAAGCACCGGCUAACUACGUG